RNAcentral lists this ribosomal RNA (336 nucleotides) under uncultured eukaryote. RNAcentral's name for it is "SSU rRNA". It matches the Rfam family "Eukaryotic small subunit ribosomal RNA", at positions 587 to 972 of the family's 1831-position model. The record is from RNAcentral.
AGCUCCAAUAGCUUUGUUGAAAGUUGCUGCAGUUAAAAAGCUCGUAGUUGAAUAUCCGGCGUCUCUGACGUCUGCCUACCACGACUUACGACACCGAAUGGGGUUGUAUGCUCGUUUAGGCUUUACUGUGAACAAAUUAGAGUGCUCAAAACAGGCUUUUGCUUGGAUUUUUUAGCAUGGAAUAAUGAAAUACGACUUCGCUCAUUUUAUUGGUUCUUGGACGAAGUAAUGGUUAACAGGAACAGUUGGGGGCAUUCGUACUUAAAAGUCAGAGGUGAAAUUCUUAGAUUUUUUAAAGACGAACUAAUGCGAAGGCAUUUGCCAAGGAUGUUUUCA